GACGAACGCUGGCGGCGUGCUUAACACAUGCAAGUCGAACGGAAAGGCCCUGCUUUUGUGGGGUGCUCGAGUGGCGAACGGGUGAGUAACACGUGAGUAACCUGCCCUUGACUUUGGGAUAACUUCAGGAAACUGGGGCUAAUACCGGAUAGGAGCUCCUGCUGCAUGGUGGGGGUUGGAAAGUUCCGGCGGUUGGGGAUGGACUCGGGGCUUAUCAGCUUGUUGGUGGGGUAGUGGCUUACCAAGGCUUUGGCGGGUAGCCGGCCUGGGAGGGUGACCGGCCACCUUGGGCCUGAGAUACGGCCCAGACUCCUACGGGAGGCAGCAGUGGGGAAUAUGGCACAAUGGGCGGAAGCCUGAUGCAGCAACGCCGCGUGCGGGAUGACGGCCUUCGUGGUGUAAACCGCUGUCGCCUGUGACGAAGCGUGAGUGACGGUAAUGGGUAAAGAAGCACCGGCUAACUACGUG
Molecule: ribosomal RNA, 468 nt
Filed under: uncultured bacterium
Lineage: Bacteria
Description: partial 16S ribosomal RNA
Rfam family: Bacterial small subunit ribosomal RNA
Source: RNAcentral